UACGUAGGGGGCAAGCGUUGUCCGGACUCAUUGGGCGUAAAGAGCGUGUAGGCGGCCAGGUAGGUCCGUUGUGAAAACUCGAGGCUCAACCUCGAGACGUCGAUGGAAACCAUCUGGCUAGAGUCCGGAAGAGGAGAGUGGAAUUCCUGGUGUAGCGGUGAAAUGCGCAGAUAUCAGGAAGAACACCUAUGGCGAAGGCAGCUCUCUGGGACGGUACUGACGCUGAGACGCGAAAGCGUGGGGAGCAAACAGG
This 253-nucleotide ribosomal RNA is filed under the name uncultured bacterium. Its description in RNAcentral is "partial 16S ribosomal RNA". It matches the Rfam family "Bacterial small subunit ribosomal RNA", at positions 524 to 776 of the family's 1533-position model. The record is from RNAcentral.